GUGCCAGCCGCGGCGGUAAUACGUAGGGGGCGAGCGUUGUCCGGAAUUAUUGGGCGUAAAGCGCGCGCAGGCGGUCCUUUAAGUCUGAUGUGAAAGCCCACGGCUCAACCGUGGAGGGUCAUUGGAAACUGGGGGACUUGAGUGCAGGAGAGGAGAGCGGAAUUCCACGUGUAGCGGUGAAAUGCGUAGAGAUGUGGAGGAACACCAGUGGCGAAGGCGGCUCUCUGGCCUGUAACUGACGCUGAGGCGCGAAAGCGUGGGAGCAAACAGGAUUAGAUACCCUGGUACGUCCGACGCCGUAAACGAUGAGUGCUAAGU
RNAcentral lists this ribosomal RNA (318 nucleotides) under uncultured Geobacillus sp. RNAcentral's name for it is "bacterial SSU rRNA". It matches the Rfam family "Bacterial small subunit ribosomal RNA", at positions 505 to 821 of the family's 1533-position model. The record is from RNAcentral. Lineage: Bacteria; Bacillati; Bacillota; Bacilli; Caryophanales; Anoxybacillaceae.